CGUAUCACCCAAGACAACUUUGCGGAGUUGACGAUUGACGGAGCGAAGCGACGUCAAAGCGUUCAUUAAAGUCGAGUUGGCUUAGGGAUACGUUCGUUGGGUAGGGGAGCGUUCUGUAAGCCUGUGAAGGUGGCCUGUGAGGGUUGCUGGAGGUAUCAGAAGUGCGAAUGCUGACAUAAGUAACGAUAAAGCGGGUGAAAAGCCCGCUCGCCGGAAGACCAAGGGUUCCUGUCCAACGUUAAUCGGGGCAGGGUGAGUCGACCCCUAAGGCGAGGCCGAAAGGCGUAGUCGAUGGGAAACGGGUUAAUAUUCCCGUACUUGGUGUUACUGCGAAGGGGGGACGGAGAAGGCUAUGUUGGCCGGGCGACGGUUGUCCCGGUUUAAGCGUGUAGGUGUGUGUUCCAGGUAAAUCCGGUUCACUUUAACACUGAGGCGUGACGACGAGGCACUACGGUGCUGAAGCAACAAAUGCCCUGCUUCCAGGAAAAGCCUCUAAGCAUCAGGUAACAUCAAAUCGUACCCCAAACCGACACAGGUGGUCAGGUAGAGAAUACCAAGGCGCUUGAGAGAACUCGGGUGAAGGAACUAGGCAAAAUGGUGCCGUAACUUCGGGAGAAGGCACGCUGACACGUAGGUGAAGUGAUUUACUCAUGGAGCUGAAGUCAGUCGAAGAUACCAGCUGGCUGCAACUGUUUAUUAAAAACACAGCACUGUGCAAACACGAAAGUGGACGUAUACGGUGUGACGCCUGCCCGGUGCCGGAAGGUUAAUUGAUGGGGUCAGCGCAAGCGAAGCUCCUGAUCGAAGCCCCGGUAAACGGCGGCCGUAACUAUAACGGUCCUAAGGUAGCGAAAUUCCUUGUCGGGUAAGUUCCGACCUGCACGAAUGGCGUAAUGAUGGCCAGGCUGUCUCCACCCGAGACUCAGUGAAAUUGAACUCGCUGUGAAGAUGCAGUGUACCCGCGGCAAGACGGAAAGACCCCGUGAACCUUUACUAUAGCUUGACACUGAACAUUGAGCCUUGAUGUGUAGGAUAGGUGGGAGGCUUUGAAGUGUGGACGCCAGUCUGCAUGGAGCCGACCUUGAAAUACCACCCUUUAAUGUUUGAUGUUCUAACGUGGACCCGUUA
RNAcentral lists this ribosomal RNA (1128 nucleotides) under Salmonella enterica subsp. enterica serovar Hadar. Its description in RNAcentral is "partial 23S ribosomal RNA". It matches the Rfam family "Bacterial large subunit ribosomal RNA", at positions 1154 to 2238 of the family's 2925-position model. The record is from RNAcentral. Lineage: Bacteria; Pseudomonadati; Pseudomonadota; Gammaproteobacteria; Enterobacterales; Enterobacteriaceae.